This 497-nucleotide ribosomal RNA is filed under the name uncultured bacterium. RNAcentral describes it as "partial 16S ribosomal RNA". It matches the Rfam family "Bacterial small subunit ribosomal RNA", at positions 28 to 507 of the family's 1533-position model. The record is from RNAcentral.
GAUGAACGCUGGCGGCGUGCCUAAUACAUGCAAGUCGAGCGAACAGACGAGGAGCUUGCUCCUCUGACGUUAGCGGCGGACGGGUGAGUAACACGUGGAUAACCUACCUAUAAGACUGGGAUAACUUCGGGAAACCGGAGCUAGUACCGGAUAAUAUAUUGAACCGCAUGGUUCAAUAGUGAAAGACGGUUUUGCUGUCACUUAUAGAUGGAUCCGCGCCGCAUUAGCUAGUUGGUAAGGUAACGGCUUACCAAGGCAACGAUGCGUAGCCGACCUGAGAGGGUGAUCGGCCACACUGGAACUGAGACACGGUCCAGACUCCUACGGGAGGCAGCAGUAGGGAAUCUUCCGCAAUGGGCGAAAGCCUGACGGAGCAACGCCGCGUGAGUGAUGAAGGUCUUCGGAUCGUAAGACUCUGUUAUUAGGGAAGAACAAAUGUGUAAGUAACUAUGCACGUCUUGACGGUACCUAAUCAGAAAGCCACGGCUAACUACGUG